RNAcentral lists this long non-coding RNA (10497 nucleotides) under Glycine max (soybean). RNAcentral describes it as "long non-coding RNA (GMAX_LNC003149)". Lineage: Eukaryota; Viridiplantae; Streptophyta; Magnoliopsida; Fabales; Fabaceae. The record is from RNAcentral.
UGAAUUGUCUAAGCAUGAGUUGCCUAUAAUAUCUGAGAUGUCUAAGGUUCCUGAAUUGUCUAAGCGCGAGUUGCCUAAAGUCUCUGAAUUGCUUAAGCCCGAGUUACCUAAAGUACCCAAGUUGCCUGAGAUUUCUGAAUUGCCUAAGCCCGAGUUGACUAAAGUACCUGAGUUGCCUAAGGUUCCUGAAUCGUUUAAGCUCGAGUUGACUAAAAUACCUGAGUUGACUAAAGUAUCUGAGUUGUCUAAGGUUCCUGAAUUGCCUAAACCUACGUUUCCUAAAGUACCUAAGCCAGAAUUGCCUAUGGUCCUUGAAUUGCCUAAGCUCGAAUUGUCAAAAAUACCUAAAAUACCUAAGGUUCCUGAAUUCCUUAAGGUUCCCAGGACAUUUUCAACUACCAAUCUUCAGUUUGAAUUAUUCCUUACGCUGUCUUGUCCUCAGAUCAAAAUUGGCUGCAUUCCAGUACCUAGGUCAUGUUGUUUGAUAGAUGUGAUUUGAUAUAUGUUAAUUUUCACUCGUGUAUAAUAUGUUUUAGCUACUUAAGAGUUAAGAGUGAUUGUGUCGGUUUACAAAUAUUUUGAACCAUACUAUAAAUUAUGUUUAAUUUGGAGUUAUUUAAGUUGAUUACAGUUAUACCAUUGCGUACUAAUAGACAUCUUCAUGUAAUGUUGUGAAUUUAAUAAGAUUGUCAUUUCUGAGUACAACUUUCUAGACAUUUUGCUACUAAUUGGUUCUGUCGUUACAUUUUUUUCUUGUUUUAACAGACUCAAUAACAUUGAAUUCAGCUAUCGAAAUUUUAUCAAUGCUCUCUGCAAAGCAAAGGAAACUAUGAUCAGGGGUCAUAUCACACACAAAUUAGCAUUUUCGUAUAUCUAAUUCUCACAUCUAACAUUUGAUACAAUCUUGAUUCGCUACUAUUAUGCCUCGGGAAAGUACACUGAUUUAUUAGAAUUUCCACAAGUAAUGACGUUUACAUGUAUUGAUGCAUUAAAACAAAACUAAUUGGAUAUGAUUAGGAUUGAAGAAUGCUCUUUAUUAUUAUAAUUUUUUAUGGAAACUAUUGACAUUUGAGAACAAGCAAGAAUUUAAAAGUACUGAAAUUAUCAAUAUUAACAAUGCGUAAUUUUAUUUUAUAAUUAAAUUUGGCUCUUAUUUAAACUAUGUGGCAAUUAUGGGAUCCCUAAAUGAUGAAGAAGCAGCAGUUCGACCCAAGCGCACCACAAAGAGGCCCACUAAUUAGGAGGAAUAUAUCCACUAGCAUAGCAGAAAAGGACAAUUUGGGAAUUCACCUUAGGAUAGUGCCUUCCUCAUCGUGCUUGUCUCGCACGAACGUUUGCUUUGCGAUUCUUGUCCCCCAGAGAUCACGGCAGAAUUGAUCUUGUUUCCUGUUUUUCCAGCAUUGUUAAUAUUUCUAUUUUUUUGAAAAUAUUUAAAUAGAUGUAAUGAAUCAAGAGGAAGGCAAUGAGAAUUUUCGAUUUCUUACCUUAAUCUCGCUGCUUCUGGAGGUUGAUUCCUGUCCUCCAAUUCAGGAAUAUCUUCAUCCCUACCAAUUGGUGCUUCCAUUGACCCUCCCCAUGGCAGACAACACUUGUAGCCACACCCUCUCGCGCCUUGAAGAAGCUGUCACCCUCCUCACACAAAACCAAACCACACUCACAGCCACUCAAAAUUCCCUACAUACCCGUCUCGACGAGGUCCUAGCUCGUCUACAGUCCCUCGAAGCUUCUUCCCCCUCCAUGUCUCCCCGGCCCUCCACGCCACGCAUGAACCUUGAUAUCCCCCGUUUCGACGGCACUAAUGCUCUGGCCUGGAUUUUCAAGAUAACCCAAUUUUUUGAUUACCAUCGCACCCCCGAGGACGACCGUCUUCAGGUAGCCUCCUUUUACCUUGAAGGCGCCGCACUAAGCUGGUUUCAGUGGCUCUACCGCAAUGACCAAUUACCCUCUUGGUCUUCAUUUAUCCAAGCUCUUGAGCUCCGCUUCGCACCCACCCUCUAUGACGAUCCUCGCGGCGCCUUGUUUAAGCUCUCUCAGCACGGUUCAGUAUCCAGCUACCUCGCCGAGUUUGAGUCUCUGGCCAACCGGAUCGUGGGCUUACCCACCCCUUUUCUCCUCAGCUCUUUCAUUUCGGGCCUCCACCCCGACAUCCGGCGCGAGGUACUGGCCUUACAACCCCUGUCCCUCGUCCAGGAGGUGGCGCUAGCCCGCCUCCAGGAGGACAAACUAUUCGACGCUCGCCGCUCCUCACGCCCCAAACCAUCCCCCCUUACCUUCCCCGCUAACCCACAACCACUCACCACCAUCACCCCUCCUCCCCUGUUACCCUCUCCCCCAAAACCUACCUACAAACGACUUACCCAGGCAGAAAUGGCGUCUCGCCGCAAACGUGGGUUGUGCUACCACUGCGACGAGCGCUAUGGCCCCAACCACCGUUGCCGUGCCAAGUUCUUCCUCCUCAUUGCUCCCCAGGACGAUGACGACCCCUUUCCACCAGACUCCCCUGAUACCAUUGACACAAACCCACCUCCACCACCCCCACCAGACCCCGACCCCGCCCAACUCACUCUUUACGCUUUGUCUGGCCAACCAACCCCCGCCACCCUUCGAGUCAUAGGCACCAUUAAGGGCCACGACACGGUCAUCCUCGUGGACGGAGGUAGUACACACAACUUCGUCCACGACCGCCUAGCCCACUUCCUCAACCUCAACCCUCAGACCAUCCCUCUUUUACCCGUCAUGGUCGGCAACGACACCGAGGUCCAUUGCGACAAGGUUUGCCGCAAUGUCGCCAUUUCCAUCCAGGGCUGCCACUUUACCCUUGACCUACAUGUAAUGACGUUGGGCGGACCCGAUAUCGUCCUUGGUGUGGCCUGGCUCAAGCUUUUGGGCCCAAUAACCACGGACUAUUCGCACCUCACAAUGACCUUUCACCACCAAGGCAAGCCCAUCACCAUCCACGGGGAACUUACCUCAGGCCCAAUUGAAAUCCCUCACGACCAAGUCCGGAGCCUCCUUACCACCAACCGGGUUGCGGCCUUAUUUCACAUCCAGCUUCUCUCCCCUGACCCGCCAUCCCCAACCUUACCAUCCACACCCCCUCCCCUUCGUUCCCUCCUCACCAAAUAUUCCACCCUGUUUCAACCUCCGGCACACCUACCCCCCACUCGACCAACAUACCACUCCAUCCACCUUGAACCAAAUUCCCAACCAGUCAACGUCCGCCCCUAUAGAUACCCAUAUUCUCAUAAGUGCGAGAUUGAACGGCAAGUUGACGACAUGCUUCGUCGUCAACUCAUACGUCCCAGCCGUAGCCCGUAUUCCAGUCCGGUGCUUCUUGUCAAGAAAAAGGAUGGGACAUGGCGGUUCUGUGUGGACUACCGUGCACUGAACUCGCUCACGAUCAAGGAUCGAUUUCCUCUACCCACCAUUGAUGAACUCCUUGACGAUUUGGGCAAUUCUUCUUGGUUCUCGAAGAUGGACCUUGCGCAGGGAUUCCAUCAGAUUCGCAUGGAGGAGCAAGACAUACCCAAAACUGCAUUCAGAACACAUCAAGGCCAUUACGAAUACAUCGUGAUGCCCUUUGGCCUCUGCAAUGCGCCAUCGACUUUCCAGGCUACAAUGAAUGAGCUCUUUCGCCCAUUUAUCCGCAAAUUCAUGCUCGUCUUCUUUGACGACAUAUUGGUUUUCAGUAGCGAUUUCCAGGCUCACCUCCACCACCUGGAGUGUGUUUUCAGAACCUUGCAACAGGGGCAAUUCCAUUUGAAAGCUUCCAAAUGCAUCUUCGGGCAACGGCGUAUUGAGUAUCUCGGCCAUUUCGUCUCUUCCCAGAGAGUAGAACCCGACCCGUCCAAGAUUAAGGCUAUGCUACAAUGGCCUCCUCCGACUACACCCAAACAACUUCGCGGUUUCCUAGGACUAACCGGGUUCUACCGGCGUUUUUUUCACCGUUAUGCCCAAAUAGCUGAACCAUUGACCCAACUCCUGCGUAAGGACGGGUUCAAAUGGACACCCGAGGCCCAAACUGCUUUCGCCAAGCUCAAGGAGGCCAUGACCGCCACACCUGUGCUCGCCUUGCCGGAUUUCACCAUCCCUUUCGUUCUGGAGACCGACGCCUCUGGGUCCGGCAUGGGUGAUGUUCUGAUGCAAAGGGGUCACCCCAUUGCUUACUUUAGUAAGCAAUUCUGCCCCAAGCUCCUCCGAUCUUUUACAUACAUACGGGAGCUUCACACAAUCACCACCGCCGUCAAACGCUGGCGUCAAUAUCUCCUGGGCCACACCUUCGUGAUUCUAACGGACCAUAAGAGUCUUCGCGAGUUGAUGACUCAACCGGUUCAGACCCCAGAACAACAUGUAUACCUGGCCAAGCUUCUUGGUUACAAUUAUUCUAUCCAGUAUAAGGCUGGCCGUAACAAUGUAGUAGCAGAUGCCCUCUCGCGCCUUCAUGAACCGGACUCCGUAGCUGCAUGUUUCCAAAUCAUCUCCAUGCCCCACCCACAAUUCCUUGACGAGCUCAAGAGGGAAUUAUCGGGAUCGGACGAAUUCAAGACACUCAUGCUCCAAGUUCGCAACCAUCCUUCCGAUUAUCCGGGUUUCAAAAUCAGAGACAACCUGCUCCUUUUUCAGGGCAGCAUUUGGCUUAAUCAGGGCAACCCUUUUAUUCCCCUUCUUCUGGAGGAAUAUCACAAAUCCCCCCUCGGUGGUCACAUGGGGCUUGCUAAGACCCUGGGUCGUCUCCAGCAAAGCUUUUUCUGGGAACACAUGCGCCGUGAUACCCAGAACUUUAUAAAGCAAUGUUCGAAUUGGCUUCAGACCAAAUACACUCCAAAGAAGCCCGCCGGCCAUUUCCAGCCAAUCCCACCACCAUCACGGCCUUGGGAGGAUUUGGCCCUCGAUUUCAUCACUGGGUUACCCAUUUCGAAUGGCGCUACAGUCAUCAUGACGGUGGUUGAUCGUUUCUCCAAGGGCGGACACUUCGGGACUCUGCCAACCCAUUUCACAGCUCACAUGGCGGCCCACUUGUUCAUUGACCUCAUCUGCAAGCUUCACAGUUUCCCACGGAGCUUAAUCUCCGACCGUGACCCCCUCUUCCUCAGCAAGUUCUGGCGGGAGCUUUCCAAACUCAGCGGGACCAAGCUGCGCAUGAGCAUGGCUUAUCAUCCCCAGAGCGAUGGGCAAUCUGAGGUGCUCAACCGCGUCGUUGAACAAUAUCUUCGUAGCUUCGUUCAUGCAAAACCAGCAAAUUGGCACAAAUUUUUGAGUUUGGCGGAGUGGUGCUACAGUACAUCGCGCCAUUCUGCUACGGGGCUAACCCCAUACGAGGUCACUUAUGGUAAACCCCCGCCGGCGAUCCCUGACUACCUUCCGGGAACGUCGGAUGUCGAGGCAGUGGAUUUCCUCCUCACCUCCCGACAGGACAUGUUCACCACCCUCUGACGAAAGCUCGAAAAAUCGCAGGCUCAGAUGAAAGCCCAUGCUGAUGGCCAUCGUCGAGAGGUCAGCUUUCAAAUCGGAGACUGGGUCUACGUGAAGUUACGUCCUUACCGCCAAACCACAGUGGCCGACAAAUUCCACAAACUGGGGAAGCGCUUUUAUGGUCCUUAUCAGAUAACAGAAGUGAUAGGUAAGGUAGCUUAUCGCCUUGCAUUACCACCAACAGCUAAGAUCCACCCCGUGUUUCACAUUUCGAAGCUCAAACCGCAUCAGGGACCCAUCACGAAGGAACAGUCACUUCCCCCAUCCUCUUGGGCCAACAACCCAGUAGUGGCCCCACUGACUAUCCUGGACCACAAAUGGAGCGACCAUGACCCUCCCGAGCUUUCAGUCCUUGUCCAAUGGGCAGGACUCCAGCCUGAAGAUACUACAUGGGAACGCUGGGCUGACCUCCAAGACGUUUACCACCUUGAGGACAAGGUGCUUCCGGAAGAGGUAGGAGAUGAUAGAGAAGCAGCAGUUCGACCCAAGCGCACCACAAAGAGGCCCACUAAUUGGGAGGAAUAUAUCCACUAGCAUAGCAGAAAAGGGCAAUUUGGGAAUUCACCUUAGGAUAGUGCCUUCCUCAUCGUGCUUGUCUCGCACGAAUGUUUGCUUUGCGAUUCUUGUCCCCCAGAGAUCACAGCAGAAUUGAUCUUGUUUCCUGUUUUUCCAGCAUUGUUAAUAUUUCUGUUUUUUUGAAAAUAUUAUAAAUAGAUGUAAUGAAUCAAGAGGAAGACAAUGAAAAUUUUCGAUUUCUUACCUUAAUCUCUUUGCUUCUGGAGGUUGAUUCCUGUCCUCCAAUUCAGGAAUAUCUUCAUCCCUACCACUAAACCUUUUCUAUCCUUUCUUCUUAAUUGGUGGAUGUAUAUGGUGAUCAAGGUUUUAAAUAAUGAUUGCAGUUGUAUUGUAGUUUCGUCGCAUUUAUUGAUAUCGCAGUAAAUUAUAGACAAAUGCGGUUGCAGAUAGUUAAAAAAAUUUGAUAUUGCGGUCUAAAUCACCGUCACUCACUGUUUUUUACCUUGAUAGUGAUGAAGAAUUUUCACAAUUUUGGAUCUUUAACAUCUUUUAGCUACUGAUGAAGGUGGUGCUACACUGUACUAAUUAAGGCCAUAAUAUAUUUUUCACAACUAUUGAACUUGCAUGCUAAGGCACUGGCACUGUAUGAUAAUAUAAACUGAUAUUUUAUCACACUUAAUAAAAUUAUGUGUUUUUCCAUAAAAAAAUAAAAUUAAUUAUAUUAACAUAUAAAUCAAUCAAAUUAAAAUUAAUUUUUUUUGUUAAUUUAUUAUGCAAAUAAAAGAUAUUUCUAGUUUUUUUUCUAAAUCUUGAAAUUUCUUCUAUUGAUAUCAAUUUUUUAAAACUCAAUUUACAUAUCCACUUAUAAUAUAAGUAGUUAUCAGAGGGCAUGCACGAGUCACAACACUUUAGUUUAACAAUAUAUAAAACCUUUUAUAUAAUAUAAUUAAUUUUUAUUACUUGCAUCCAUUUGGUAAACAAUUAGUUUAAUAAUAAUAAUAAGUAUAAUACAUAAGAAAUGAAAAGUAUAAUAUGCAUAAUUAUCACAAAUCAUUGUUAAUUAUCAUUUUCAUUAUUAUAAUUAUAUAAUUAUAAAAAAAAUCUAAUUGCCAUCAAUUAUUAUAAUUACAUUACAAUUAUUAUAUAAUUUAAAAUAAAUUGUCUUUAAAAAAAUCAAAUAAAUCUAUUACUUAGACCUCUUGAGAAUGCUAUGUGUAAACAUUCCUAUUGAAAAAUAUUUUUCAAUAUUUUUGUAUGUAUUAUUAUAGAUUAUAUAACAUGAUAAAUAAUUAAAUAAUCAAUAAAAAUAUGUGUAACUCUUUAAUUUCUAGAAAAUUUAUCUAAAGAUUUUCAAUGGUCAACCAAACAAAUUUUAUUCAUCUCCAGGAAACAUGAUUCCCAGGCUUUGUGAUUCCUAGGAAUCAUGAUUCUCGGAUAUGAAAAAACUUAUUUUCUAUCAAACGUCUCGUAAAGGAAAUUUUUUUAAGUUAAAAUUAGUUAUCAAUCAUGUUGACAAUUACAAUGACAGAAACAAGAAUCUUCAAAAAAUUCAUUUAUAUUAAAAGGGUCUUGCUAACCAAUGCCCUAAGGACAUUGGUUAAGGAAUUAAAAAUAGAAAGUAUUUAUAAUGGAGAUCAUGGGCAAGCUAAAAAAAAGUAAUGGACAACACAAUUUUGUAUAUUCCAAUAUAAUUUUCUUCCUUUUAAUUCAUUAACGAAUGCCUUGAGGGCACUAGUUAGCAUUUGACAUAUUAAAAUAGUUCAAUAGAAUUAAGAUGUGCAUAUUUUUAUAAAAUAAAGCAAAAAUAAAGUGUAGUUUAGACUUGACACUAGCUAAAAAGUUAGCUACAAGUUGAGAAGUUAACGGGAAGUUGAAAAGUUAGUUAGUAAUAGAAAAGAUUAAAAAUAAAAUCUAAUAAAUGUUCAAGGACAAAAAAAGAAUAAAUAUAAAAAGUUAAAACUGAGCGUUUUAAUAAAUACUACUUCAAGUAGUGUCUAAAAAAAGUUAGAAGCUACCAAGAAAUGAGCUGAAAACUAUAUAAUAACAGAAAAAUAAUAAAAUCAUGAUUUAUUUAAAAAUAGUAAUUAGGAAAGAUGGUAAUUAUAUUAAGAAUAAAAAGAAAAGAAAAUAUAAAAAAUUAAAAAUUAGAAACUAGUAUUUUUAAAAAUGAUAGUUCAAGUAGUAUGUCAAAAAAUAUUAAAAAUUAUUAAAAAAAAUUAUUUAUCAAAUAAUUAAAUAAAUUUUUCAACUAAAAAAAUAAAAAUUAACUAAAAUAUCUGAUGUAACAUAAUCUUAGACAUUUCUUUUAUGAGAAAAUGAGGCAUGUUGAAAAGGUAAAACAUGACACACUUUCAUUUGUAUGAUAUAAUUCAAGGUCUUAAAAAUAGUUACACUAUCAACUAACUAAAUGCAUAAAUUAUUACUGUGAUUCUCAGACAAAUUCAAAUGUAUUUGCAAAGAUAAGCAGAAGCCUAUAUAAUUUAUACAUUUCUAAAUUUUAAAGGGUAGAUAAUAAAAUCACAUCACAUUACGGGUAAGAAAGUGGGGAUUUUUGCUGUGUACCAGCAAUUUCAAACAAUUACGUAUGUUUAUUUCUCUGUUCAGAUUUGGUUAAAACAUUAUCUAACGUGUAACUUGCUUAUUUAUGGCCAAAACUUUACUCAAUUCAGAUCUGCAAGAAACUUGAAAAGUAGUAGUAUAUGAUAUUAAUAUGCGAAGAAAAACUAAUAGGACACUCAUGCUACAAAGUACCAAAAGAAGGCAUAGCAACCACACACACAAUAUAUAUAUAUAUAUAUAUAUAUAUAUAUUGCUGCUAGCUAGACACGAGCACAACAUGAGACAGAAAUGCGACAAAAAGUUGUUUUGCUUUAAUUUGCAUGCAUGAAAAAGUUUUCAGAAGCUGAGUUAUGUAGGGUUUAAAGAUGUGAAACGUGUACCGGAUGGUUACUUGUUGGUCAUCUAACUUUUGAAUUUUAUGUGAUUGGAUUUGUCUGUUGAAUUUCAAAGAUGGUAAUAAUAGUAAUAUUUAUAAGAGUUUAUUGGGGGUUGAAAUUAAGUCUGGUUAGUUGACAAUACAGAGAAAACUUGCAAGGAACUAUUUUCAUUGGCAAACAUCUCUAGUAAUCCUUAGCUUUGUGGUAGCUUUCUAAAAGGAAAACAUUGACUUUCGUGGAUAAAGGGAAUUGUUUAACACUUCAAAGUUCAAAUCAAAGGUGAUUAAAAUGUCUUCAUUUGCUUCUAAUGUAGAUAGAUAGUAGAUUAGUUGACCAACAACGGUUCUGAUUAAAGUUUGAUAUGAAGGAUACUGUGUGGAUAAGAAGUUGAGCUAACAAUACUUCCAUGCACCACCCCAUUCCCACCAACUCACGCUGCAUAGCCCAUCAUUGAGUUACACAGUUUCGUCUAUAAAAGUCCUAAUAUACAAUACAACACCAGCAGUGUACGCUCACAAAACAUCUCUAAACGCUUGUAAAGAUCUCCAUCUCCCAUUGAUCCUCCUGAAGUUUUUGUAUUCAACCAUGGCUACCUAUAGUUGGUCAACUGAGAUAUUUUCAUUUUUGGUUCUAACGUUGUUGUCGACAAGCAGUCACACAAUGGUUGCUGGAGCACGCAAUCUUCUCGAAUCAACCUUGUCAAAACCAGAAGUGCCAACACUUCCCAAACCUCAUGAGUUGCCACCAUUGCCGGAAAUCCCUGAAUUGCCCAAGUUUGAGUCGCCUAAGAUCCCUGCACUCCCGAAACCUGAGCUACCUAAGGUCCCUGAACUGUCUAAGCCUGACAUGUCUAAAGUUCCUGAGUUGCCUAAAGUCCCAGAAAGGCUUAAAGUACCCGAGAUAUCUAAGAUCCUUGAAUUGUCUAAGCCCGAGUUGCCUAAAGGACCAGAAUUACUUAAGCCUGAGUUACCUAGUGUACCUAAUAUCCCUAAGGUUCCUGAAUUGCCUAAACCAGAGUUGCCUGAAGUCCCAAAGUUGCCUAAGCCUGAGUUGCCAAAAGUACCAGAAUUGCCUAAACCUGAGUUACCUAAAGUACCUGAGAUCCCUGAAUUGCCUAAUCUCGAGUUGCCUAAAGUAACACAAUUGCCUAAGUCUAAGUUACCAAAAGUACCUGAGAUCCCUAAGGUCCCUGAAUUUCCUAAGCCCGAGUUGCCUAAAGUUCCUGAAUUGUCUAAGCCAGAGUUACCAAAAGCACCUGAGAUUCCUAAGGUCCCUGAAUUUCCUAAGCCCGAGUUGCCUAAAGUUCCUGAAUUGUCUAAGCCAGAGUUACCAAAAGCACCUGAGAUCCCUAAGGUCCCUGAAUUUCCUAAGCCCGAGUUGCCUAAAGUUCCUGAAUUGCCUAAGCCAGAGUUACCAAAAAUACCUGAAAUCCCUAAGGUCCCUGAAUUUCCUAAGCCAGAGUUGCCUAAAGUUCCUGAAGUGCCUAAGCCAGAGUUGUCAAAAGUACCAAAGCUACCUAAGUCUGAGUUACCUAAAGUACCUGAGAUUCCUGAAUUGCCUAAGUCCGAGUUGC